CCUACGGGGAGCAAAAGACGCCACGCGUGGCGUUCCGAGAGUACCCGAAGAAAAAGCAUCGGCUAACUCCGUGCCAGCAGCCGCGGUAAUACGGAGGAUGCGUGCGUUAUCCGGAUUCAUUGGGUUUAAAGGGUGCGCUGGCGGAAGAUCAAGUCAGCGGUAAAAUUGAGAGGCUCAACCUCUUCGAGCCGUUGAAACUGGUUUUCUUGAGUGAGUGAGAAGUAUGCGGAAUGCGUGGUGUAGCGGUGAAAUGCAUAGAUAUCACGCAGAACUCCGAUUGCGAAGGCAGCAUACCGGAGCUCAACUGACGCUCAUGCACGAAAGUGUGGGUAUCGAACAGGAUUAGAUACCCUUGUAGUC
RNAcentral lists this ribosomal RNA (360 nucleotides) under uncultured bacterium. RNAcentral's name for it is "partial 16S ribosomal RNA". It matches the Rfam family "Bacterial small subunit ribosomal RNA", at positions 434 to 795 of the family's 1533-position model. The record is from RNAcentral.